GGUCCUACGGGUGGCUGCAGUCGGGGAUAUUGCACAAUGGGCGCAAGCUUGAUGCAGCAACGCCGCGUGGGCGAUGAAGGCCUUCGGGUCGUAAAGCCCUUUUCUGGGAGAAGAGUAAGGACGGUAUCCCAGGAAUAAGUGUCGGCUAACUACGUGCCAGCAGCCGCGGUAAUACGUAGGACACAAGCGUUAUCCGGAUUCACUGGGCGUAAAGAGCGUUGAGGCGGUUCUGUAAGUUGGACGUGAAAGCCCCCGGCCUAACUGGGGGAGGCCGUUCAAUACUGCAGGACUUGAGGGCAGCAGAGGGAGGUGGAAUUCCCGGUGUAGUGGUGAAAUGCGUAGAUAUCGGGAGGAACACCAGUGGCGAAGGCGGCCUCCUGGGCUGCACCUGACGCUGAAGGCGAAAGCUAGGGGAGCGAACGGGAUUAGAUACCCCAGUAGUCA
This 444-nucleotide ribosomal RNA is filed under the name uncultured bacterium. Its description in RNAcentral is "bacterial SSU rRNA". It matches the Rfam family "Bacterial small subunit ribosomal RNA", at positions 335 to 796 of the family's 1533-position model. The record is from RNAcentral.